GGAUGCGAUCAUACCAGCACUAACGCCCCGGA
Molecule: ribosomal RNA, 32 nt
Filed under: Lycianthes lycioides
Lineage: Eukaryota; Viridiplantae; Streptophyta; Magnoliopsida; Solanales; Solanaceae
Source: RNAcentral